UUGAAGAGUUUGAUCAUGGCUCAGAUUGAACGCUGGCGGCAGGCCUAACACAUGCAAGUCGAACGGUAACAGGAAUCAGCUUGCUGAUUCGCUGACGAGUGGCGGACGGGUGAGUAAUGUCUGGGAAACUGCCUGAUGGAGGGGGAUAACUACUGGAAACGGUAGCUAAUACCGCAUAACGUCGCAAGACCAAAGAGGGGGACCUUCGGGCCUCUUGCCAUCGGAUGUGCCCAGAUGGGAUUAGCUUGUUGGUGGGGUAACGGCUCACCAAGGCGACGAUCCCUAGCUGGUCUGAGAGGAUGACCAGCCACACUGGAACUGAGACACGGUCCAGACUCCUACGGGAGGCAGCAGUGGGGAAUAUUGCACAAUGGGCGCAAGCCUGAUGCAGCCAUGCCGCGUGUAUGAAGAAGGCCUUCGGGUUGUAAAGUACUUUCAGCGGGGAGGAAGGGAGUAAAGUUAAUACCUUUGCUCAUUGACGUUACCCGCAGAAGAAGCACCGGCUAACUCCGUGCCAGCAGCCGCGGUAAUACGGAGGGUGCAAGCGUUAAUCGGAAUUACUGGGCGUAAAGCGCACGCAGGCGGUUUGUUAAGUCAGAUGUGAAAUCCCCGGGCUCAACCUGGGAACUGCAUCUGAUACUGGCAAGCUUGAGUCUCGUAGAGGGGGGUAGAAUUCCAGGUGUAGCGGUGAAAUGCGUAGAGAUCUGGAGGAAUACCGGUGGCGAAGGCGGCCCCCUGGACGAAGACUGACGCUCAGGUGCGAAAGCGUGGGGAGCAAACAGGAUUAGAUACCCUGGUAGUCCACGCCGUAAACGAUGUCGACUUGGAGGUUGUGCCCUUGAGGCGUGGCUUCCGGAGCUAACGCGUUAAGUCGACCGCCUGGGGAGUACGGCCGCAAGGUUAAAACUCAAAUGAAUUGACGGGGGCCCGCACAAGCGGUGGAGCAUGUGGUUUAAUUCGAUGCAACGCGAAGAACCUUACCUGGUCUUGACAUCCACGGAAGUUUUCAGAGAUGAGAAUGUGCCUUCGGGAACCGUGAGACAGGUGCUGCAUGGCUGUCGUCAGCUCGUGUUGUGAAAUGUUGGGUUAAGUCCCGCAACGAGCGCAACCCUUAUCCUUUGUUGCCAGCGGUCCGGCCGGGAACUCAAAGGAGACUGCCAGUGAUAAACUGGAGGAAGGUGGGGAUGACGUCAAGUCAUCAUGGCCCUUACGACCAGGGCUACACACGUGCUACAAUGGCGCAUACAAAGAGAAGCGACCUCGCGAGAGCAAGCGGACCUCAUAAAGUGCGUCGUAGUCCGGAUUGGAGUCUGCAACUCGACUCCAUGAAGUCGGAAUCGCUAGUAAUCGUGGAUCAGAAUGCCACGGUGAAUACGUUCCCGGGCCUUGUACACACCGCCCGUCACACCAUGGGAGUGGGUUGCAAAAGAAGUAGGUAGCUUAACCUUCGGGAGGGCGCUUACCACUUUGUGAUUCAUGACUGGGGUGAAGUCGUAACAAGGUAACCGUAGGGGAACCUGCGGUUGGAUCACCUCCUU
RNAcentral lists this ribosomal RNA (1538 nucleotides) under Escherichia coli. RNAcentral describes it as "bacterial SSU rRNA". It matches the Rfam family "Bacterial small subunit ribosomal RNA". The record is from RNAcentral. Lineage: Bacteria; Pseudomonadati; Pseudomonadota; Gammaproteobacteria; Enterobacterales; Enterobacteriaceae.